Molecule: unclassified non-coding RNA, 180 nt
Organism: Salvator merianae (Argentine black and white tegu)
Lineage: Eukaryota; Metazoa; Chordata; Lepidosauria; Squamata; Teiidae
Source: Ensembl
UUGACAACACUGGAGGCUGAAGCCCUCUAUUUAUCCACAGAACAGAUACAGCACGGGCGGCAGCAGUGCAAGCUUUCCCACGCUGCCCCCACCAAUGUGCCUCAGCUUUGUCCUGGAGGGACCACCUCUAGAGGUGAGAGGAUAGAUCGGUCUCCAUGACCCAUUCAGUCCUUGGCCUUU